This 4176-nucleotide long non-coding RNA is filed under the name Nicotiana tabacum (common tobacco). Its description in RNAcentral is "long non-coding RNA (NTAB_LNC006280)". The record is from RNAcentral. Lineage: Eukaryota; Viridiplantae; Streptophyta; Magnoliopsida; Solanales; Solanaceae.
GCUUUGUCUUGAAUACCCACUUCACACCAAUAGUUUUGUGCCCUUUGGAAGAUCUGAUAGCUCCCAAGUGCCAUUUCUUUCAAUGGCAUCAAUUUCGUCAUCCAUAGCUUUCCUCCAUUUCUCCUCUUUAAUAGCAUUUUCAAAAGUUGUAGGAUCACUAUCUGCAAACAAUGCAAAGUAGGAAAAAUAAUCUUCAUUUACAUCAAUUCCUGUUACCUCAUAAUCCAUCAUCCACGCGGGCCUUUUGCGAGCACAACGAAGAGACUCAUCUGGUGCAUCAAUUCCUUCCAAAGCUGAGGGUGAAAUUUCAGCAGCUGCUGGAUUAUAAUUUUCAGAACUUUCGGGUAUUGUUGUUACUUCUUUAACUUCAUUAUCAAUUAAGAUUGGAAUAAACUGCUGCAUAUUCCAAUCUCAAUAGUUUUCUUCAUCAAAAAUAACAUCUCUGCUAGUCACAACCUUCUUUGUCAAUGGAUUGAACAACUUGUACGCCUUGGAUGCCUCGCUAACACCAAGAAAGACACACUUCUUGCUUUUGUCAUCAAGCUUCUUCCUCUUCUCGUCUGGGAUAUGUGCAUAGCCAACUCAACCAAAAAUUUUAAAAUGAUCUACAGUAGGUUUCCUUCCACUUCAAGCCUCCUCUGGAGUCAUGUUUUGAAUGGCAAAUGUUGGACUUCUAUUCAAAAUAUGAAUACUCCAAUUUACUGCUUUUGGAGAGAAUGUCUUUGGAACUUUUCCUCGAGCUAGCAAGCUUCGAACCAUGUUGAGAAUGGUUCUAUUCUUCCUCUCCGAUACACCAUUUUGUUGUGGUGUAUACGCCGUUGUGAGCUCUUUUCGAAUGGCAUAAGUCCCAUAAAAUUCUUCAAAUCCCUUAGAGCAAUAUUUGCCCCCACGGUCUGUUCGGAAGCUCUUGGUGGUCUUUCCUGUCUCAUUCUCCACAUUAGCUUUGAAGCUUUUAAAUGCAUUAAAGACUCUGAUUUUUCCCACAGAAACUACACCCAAGUCUAUCUAGAAUAAUCGUGUAAUGACCCGACCGGUCGUUUUGAGUUUUUGCACCUUACUCGUCAGUUCUCGGGCAUGGUUUGCCCCGUGUGAUGGAUUAUGAUUUAUGUAAAUCGUUGGGUUUGGUUUUCAGGGUAAUCAGAAUGAAUUUGGAAGAACAAUUCUCAGUUGAAGCUUGAAAUUAGAAAAGUUUGACCAAGAUUUGACUUGUUGGUAUAUGAUUUCGGAUCGAAAUUUUUAUGAUUUGGUUAGUUCCGUUAGGUGAUUUGGGAACUAACUAAAUUAUUUUGGAGCGUGAUCGAAAUGCAUUUUGGAAGUCCAUGGAAGUUUUAGGCUUGAAUUAGUGAAAUUGAGAUUUUGAUAUUUUCUGGUUGAUAGGUAAGAUUUUGAUAUAGGGGUCGGAAUGGAAUUCCGGAAGUUGCAUCAGCUUCGUUGUGUCAUUUGUGACGUGUGUGCAAAAUUACAGGUCAUUCAGACGUGGUUUGGUUGGGUUUUUGAUCAAAAGCAUAAUUUGAAAGUUCUUGAAAUUCUUAAGCUUGAAUCCGAUGCAAAUUUGGUAUUUUAAGGUUGUUUUGAGCGUUCUGAAGGUUGGAACAAGUUUGAAUGAUGUUAUGGGAUAUGUUGGCAUGUUUGGUUGAGGUCCCGAGGACCUCGGGUGAGUUUCGGGUGGUCAAUCGGACCAUUUCAUGUUGUGAAAAAUUGCAGAAUUGCUGUUGUUGGUGUUGCAAGUUUUUGACCUUCGCAUUCGCGAUGCAUGUCCCGCGUUCGCAAAGGGUUAAGGUGCGAGGAUGUGGAGUUGGCCUUCGCGUUCGCGAAGAUGGUUCCGCGAUUGCGAAGAUGUAAGGUCUUUGGUCAUCGCGUUUGCGAGGUUUAGGUCGCGUUCGCAUAGAGGAAGAAGGAUAGCUGGGUCCUCAGUGCAUUUGUUCUACAUGUUCGCGUAGUUAGGGUCGCGAUUGAAAGGUGUUGAGUGUGUUGUGCAUCGCAUUCGCGAGAGCUUUCUCACGUUCGCGUAGAAUAAAUUUCGGUCAGUGAAGCAAUGUGCUUCGCGAACGCGAGGGCUAUGCCGCAUUCGCGAGAGCUUUCUCACGUUCGCGUAGAAUAAAUUUCGGUCAGUGAAGCAGUGUGCUUCGCGAACGCGAGGGCUAUGCCGCAUUCGCGAUGAAGAAAUGUAUGGGCAGAAAGUUUAUAUUUUAAAUCAAAGGUUUAAGUCCAAUUUCAUAAAAACCAUUGGAGAGCUCGGGAGAAGGUGGAAUUUGAGGAGAUUUUCAGUGGAGCUAUUGGGGUAAGUAUUCUUCACUCAUAUUUGGUUUAAUUCCAUGAUUUGGUCUUGAAUUUCAUCAUUUAAUUUGAGAAAUUAGAGUGAAAAUUGGGGGGAAAUGGAAGAACAGUUGAGAUUUCUUUUGGGGAUUUGAAUGGGCAAUUGAGAUCGGAUUUUGACGAAUUUGAUAUGGGUAGACUUGUGAGUGAACGAGGAUUUUAUUGAUGUGAUUUUUAUCGGAUUCUAAGACAUGAGCCCGGGGGCCGGGUUUGAGCAAUUUCGGGAUUUUUGAUGUAAAUUAGAUAUUUUCGAGUGGGCUUUAUUUUCUUAGCAUAUUUUAAUAGUUAUGUACUGAUUGUGGAUAGAUUUGGAGCAUCCGAAGGUUGAUUCGUAAGGGCAAAGGCAUCGCGGGCUAGAGUUUGGACCAGAUCAAGGUAAGUAAUGAUUGUAAAUGUUGUCCUGAGGGUUUGAAACCCCAGAUUUCACAUCGUUGUGCUACUUUGAGGUGACACACACGCUAGAUGAUGAGCGUGGAGUUGUGCAACGUUGGUGAUUGUGACUUGGUCCGUCCCGUACAAUUGUUAAGUCGCGUAUUUGAUUUGAAAUCUUAUGAUAUUUCAUAUUUUAGAGAUUGAUAUUAUAUUUUGGGUUGUAUGCCAUGUUUGGGGCCUUGUGCCGACCUGUUGAGACCCUUAGGGGGCACUUUCACUAUUUUUCCUCACUCUGUUUUGAAAGCAUAUCCUCAAUCAUGUUUUACCUGUUUAUUGUUUAAAUCUGGUUUUAUCACUUUACUUCUUGAAAUGUGAAAACUGUUUGGGCUGAGUUCCUUGUUUUACUGAUGGUCUGAGUGAUCGUGAGGUUGAUGACUGAGAUAGACCGAGGGUCUGAUUGUGAGGUUGAUGACUGAGAUAGACCGAGGGUCUGAUUGUGAGGUUAAUGACUGAGCGAGGCUGAGGGCCUGUUGUGAGGAUUAUAUUUAUAUGGAUCGGGUUGCAUGCCGCAGCGAUAUAGCGCUUGGGCUGUAAGAGCCCCUCCGGAGAUCGCAGUCGACUAUAUAUAUGGAUCAGGCUGCACGUCGCAACAGUUACUAUAUAGUACCUAUUGAGUGUGAAUGCUGAGUGUGAGCGCUGAUUGGAAAGAGUUGAGUCACGAGUGACUGAGAGUCUUGCCCAAGGGGCUAUAUAUAUAUACAUGUACAUGAGUGAUGCUUUGCCUGAGGGACUAGUUUAUGAACUUACUGUUUUCACCCCUCUUUAAAGUGAAAUUGAACAUGUUGAUUUAAUUACUGCUUUCACUCAUCUUUAGACCGAGCCUCUAUUGAAAAUGAUGAACAAAUGUUUUCAAUAAUCUUUUAUUUAAACUGAAGUUUUUAAGUUAUGAAAAGGAUUGUGAAUUUAUGUUAUGCCAAGGGGCUGUAUAUGAACUAUGUUUUGCCCGAGGGGCCGAUUAUGAUUUUUAUCUCUUUUAUUAUAAAUGGUAUUGAACCCCUACUGAAACUGUUGGAAAGCAUUUUUCAAAUGAUUUUCACCAAAAGCUGGAUUUUAAAUGAGACGAUUGACUCGUAUUUUGAUUUGAAAGAUUGUUGUGCUUAUUGAGUUUAUCAUAAAUGUGGAUUCGUCGUUUCCUACUGCUUAUUAUUUAUUUACUCUUAUUACUUACUGGGUUGGAGUACUCACAUUACUCCCUGCACCUCGUGUACAGAUUCAGGUAUUUUAGAAUCCGGUAGCGGGUGUUAAUUGCUCAGAGGCGGAGUCGUCGGAGUUAGCAAGGUGGCUGCAUGACGUUCGUAGCACUGCUUUCUUUCCUCUCAUUUCCAUUACUGUAUUUGGUACAUUUUUAGACUCUUGUUGUAUUCAGACCUUGGUAGAUGCUCAUGACUAGUAACACCCCGAUGUCGGGCUUGUAUGUUAUUUCUGCAC